Molecule: ribosomal RNA, 253 nt
Filed under: uncultured bacterium
Lineage: Bacteria
Description: partial 16S ribosomal RNA
Rfam family: Bacterial small subunit ribosomal RNA
Source: RNAcentral
GACAGAGGUGCCAAGCGUUAGGCGGAAUCACUGGGCUUAAAGCGUGUGUAGGCGGGCGAUCAAGUACCUUGUGAAAUCCCACGGCUCAACCGUGGAACUGCUGGGUAUACUGGUUGUCUUGAGCCAGCUAGGGGCGAGCGGAACAGACGGUGGAGCGGUGAAAUGCGUAGAUAUCGUCUGGAACGCCGAAGGUGAAAACAGCUCGCUGGGGCUGCGCUGACGCUGAGGCGCGAAAGCUAGGGGAGCAAACAGG